UAAUAUUGAUCCUCCUCCAUUAGUUGAUAAUUCAAGGGGGCUUUACCUGGAAUGAAAGAACAAAAAUGGACUCAUGAAGGUUUAAUUACCAUAACAAACUGGUAAAUAGAAGGAACUGAACAAGAUAUACAAUACCACAAACUAAUUUUUGUAACUUAUCAUAUUCAACUAAUGAGAUUGAUCCAAUACUAAAAGGCCAAACAAACUUACAACUGAAAAACUAUCGCUAACAUAUAAAACACAAUAAAAGUUAGGGAGAAAAAUUGCAGCGCAUACUGAAGGACUGGAGAGAGUGACCUGAAAUUGAAUCAACUACUGAAUGGAAGUCUGUUAACGCUAAAUAAGAAGAACUUCUGCACCAAUUCUUUCACAGUGUAAUUAAACCCCUGUGGAAAUUUGGCAACCAAAAUACAAAGUAUACAGAUUAUCCAAUCUCUUUAAUACUAGUAGGGAAAAAAAUUAGACAAAGAAAAUGAGUAGUUACCUUUAGUAGGAAAGGUUGCAAAGGAAAAGGAGGAAGAAGCGUGGAGUUUUUUUGUGAGCAGUAUUUGUGUUCCUAAUAUAUAAACACACAAGUUUUGUGAGUUGUUAAAGAUUUUUCUUUCACUGUUGAAAAUUUGCCUACUGGCCAACAAAAGGAAAACAAAAGGACAAAUCUAUAUCCCUAACAAUGCUAUUAGCCAUCAUGAACACACUAGAUAACGACACAAAGUUGAUGAAUUGUUAGUGAUUUUUCUUUCAAUCUUGAUAGUUUCUCAACUGGGGAACGAAAUGGAAGACAAAAGGAAAAGAAAGACAAAAGGAAAAGGAAGACAAAAUGACAAACCUAUAUCUCUAGUAAGGAAUAGAAAUCAUACUUCAUACUUGACUCUUUAAGGAACAAUCUCACGGUUGGGAUAUGGAUGAACCGCCAUAAUUUAUGGGAAAAAAUUGCCAAAUUGUUGGCCAAGUGGUGGAGGAGUUCAAGUGGUAUUUUUGUUCCUUUGAACCAGAAGGAAAAGAAAGUCAUCAUUUAGGGGAAAAAUCGUCAAUUUGUUGACCAACUGUUGGCGGAGUUGAAGUGGUACUUUUCUUCAUCCGAACCAGAAAGAAAACGAAGAAAGAAUGGAAUCGGAAACAGAGAGAGAACAACAUAGGAGAAAAAGUAGAGCUAAACAUGAAGAUAAUGAAAUCUACAAGUAUAUUUAUUGUGGUCAAAGAUGAGAUAAAGUGUGAUUCGAAAUCACAAGGGC
RNAcentral lists this long non-coding RNA (1232 nucleotides) under Coffea arabica (coffee). RNAcentral's name for it is "long non-coding RNA (CARA_LNC000655)". The record is from RNAcentral. Lineage: Eukaryota; Viridiplantae; Streptophyta; Magnoliopsida; Gentianales; Rubiaceae.